This 497-nucleotide ribosomal RNA is filed under the name uncultured bacterium. Its description in RNAcentral is "partial 16S ribosomal RNA". It matches the Rfam family "Bacterial small subunit ribosomal RNA", at positions 28 to 507 of the family's 1533-position model. The record is from RNAcentral.
GAUGAACGCUGGCGGCGUGCCUAAUACAUGCAAGUCGAGCGAACGGACGAGAAGCUUGCUUCUCUGAUGUUAGCGGCGGACGGGUGAGUAACACGUGGAUAACCUACCUAUAAGACUGGGAUAACUUCGGGAAACCGGAGCUAAUACCGGAUAAUAUUUUGAACCGCAUGGUUCAAAAGUGAAAGACGGUCUUGCUGUCACUUAUAGAUGGAUCCGCGCUGCAUUAGCUAGUUGGUAAGGUAACGGCUUACCAAGGCAACGAUGCAUAGCCGACCUGAGAGGGUGAUCGGCCACACUGGAACUGAGACACGGUCCAGACUCCUACGGGAGGCAGCAGUAGGGAAUCUUCCGCAAUGGGCGAAAGCCUGACGGAGCAACGCCGCGUGAGUGAUGAAGGUCUUCGGAUCGUAAAACUCUGUUAUUAGGGAAGAACAUAUGUGUAAGUAACUGUGUACAUCUUGACGGUACCUAAUCAGAAAGCCACGGCUAACUACGUG